UGCAAAAAAUAAUUUGUGCCUUCCUCUAUGUUUCUCAGACAUUUACUAGAAAACACAUGCAUGAUUUUUAACACUGUCUACAAAGUAAAUUAUCCUCUUCUCUCAUUGGUCCAGAUAUAUUCUGGAGAUAAUAUCUUCCGUUCUGACUAGAUUUUGGGCAUAUGAACUGGUGAAAUUUCCUCAGACCAUAAUAGUUUUAAUUUAUCAUGAGAGAUCUUUGCCAGGCAUUGAGAUUCUCGCUGUGAUCUCCUUGAUGCAAUUAUUAAGAUGAAGCUACAAGACAGCCAUGCAUAACUCCAUUAGCUCCCCAAAUGGACAAAUUGCUACGCUAAUAUUUGUUGCUUGCCUUUGUUACUUCACCUUCAGUUUUUGGUUGAUGACUGUUGGCACAAUCUCUAAACAUUAUUCUGGAUUAUGUUCAAUAGUAGUGUUGCAUUGCCAUCAGAUUGGAUAAGAGCUUGUUUGUAUAUCUCUUCAGGGUCAGCCCCUGGGUUUGGUGGAGAGGCGGCCGAGCGGCCAAACCGGUGCUAUUUUAUCUACUACGAAAACUUGCAUUAUCAACUUUCAACUUUCACUGUAGUUUUGAACUAAAAGGAUAAAUGGCUAUAGACUAAUCCCCAUACUUUUAAACUACAGAGAUAGUUUUUACAUCAAGCACAAUACGUACAGCAAACUAUAGAUAGCCAUAUCAUUUUAUCAUUUGCUUACGCUUAAAAAAUUAUAGCUUGCUUAUUAAAUUUUCCUUGCUAUCCGUGAAGAUAAUAUAUGGCAUUUUUUUCAAUUUUAGCGUGCAUAAACCGCACUAUGAAUCAAAGGAAGAGCCUAAUUUCGGAAAACUCUUUCAUUCCUUUCUUUCCAAGCACCGUACAUGAUAUGUUAUGAUGCCACUAGCAGCUUCUUUAUAUCCUUCCGUAUAUGUCCAAUAUAGGUUUCCACCACUUACUGAAAGAUUGGCUUGUUGUUGUAGUUGAAGGCACCAUGAUGUCAAAGUGAGCACUGAGUCUCGAAUUGCAGGUGUUCGAUGAAAAGGCAAGCGGAUUGCAUGGAAAUAUUAAUCCAUAGUUGCUAAAGUGAUGGACGAGAUCACAGAGUCAAGGAGAGGUGUUGCCCACUCACCGCGCGCUUGCUACUCAAGAUGUGUUGUUUGACUUAAACAGUUUUCAGAUUUACUUUCUUUGCUUCUUUGAUAUUUUUCAUGUUAUGGUUACUGAUUGAGACAAUCAUUUUUCAGUGAGAGGAAAUUUCAAAUAGAUUUCUUCCCCUUCCCCUCA
Molecule: non-coding RNA, 1271 nt
Organism: Lolium perenne
Lineage: Eukaryota; Viridiplantae; Streptophyta; Magnoliopsida; Poales; Poaceae
Source: RefSeq, a predicted model, not a curated record